Paramuricea clavata is the source of this 225-nucleotide non-coding RNA. The record is from the annotation of a GenBank genome assembly. Lineage: Eukaryota; Metazoa; Cnidaria; Anthozoa; Malacalcyonacea; Plexauridae.
CAUAUAGCCUUGCAAAGUUCGCAAAUUUUGUAUACUUUUGUAUUGCGUGCGGAAAUUGCUACAUUUUCGGCCCAAAUGUGGUAGCAAUUUCCGCACGCAAUACAAAAGUAUACAAAAUUUGUUAUGUUUUCCGCAUUUUACAACAUUUCGCAACCAAACUUUGCAAUGUUACUCAUUUUAGUGUGCUCUUUCUAGCUGUGGUGAUUUAUUUGCAUCUCCUUGCCU